Molecule: long non-coding RNA, 6553 nt
Filed under: Homo sapiens (human)
Lineage: Eukaryota; Metazoa; Chordata; Mammalia; Primates; Hominidae
Description: HSALNT0376517
Source: RNAcentral
CUGGGCGGGACUGGAACCGGCACUUGGCACCCCUUACGCCUUACGGUGGCCGCUGCGCCCAGUCACAUCUAUUGCAUUUCUCUGGAAUGACCACAGCAAUAUUUCCAGCCCUUGAUGAUCUUCUAGAACUUUGCCACUUCCCUGCAUCAAGAGAGUGACUGUGGACAAAUUCUGGCAUUCAGAAUCAAGUGUACAAAAUGGUGAGUAAGGUUGGCAAUGGAGUUUCUUAGAGCAGCCCCACAAUGUGCUAUGCUUUUUUUUUCUCACUGUUUAUUUCUUAGCUUAUUGACCCUAUCUAUUUGCCUUCAAGUUUUGUUCUUUGGGCCUUUUAGGGAUUCUGUGGGCUAGCUAAUAACCUUCUACAAAGCCUUUUCUGCUAAAAAUAUCUCAGUUCAAUACUAUUGUUUGCAAGUAUAAGCCUGACUAAUGGAGAGUUUCAGGUGGUAGGUGUUGCACCCCGCCCCCCCACCAAAAAAAUGAUAAAUACCUCCUCUGCUAAAAUAUACAUGUAGAGAUUGGGAGUGUUGGUCUUCACUCAGUAUUUGUAAAAAAAAUGGAUUAACAGACCUAGAGAAUGUGCACAACCGUUGGUUGUGACAGCAAAAUAUUCUACUGUACUAGUCAACCUGUGAGUUUCAAGCCUCAAAUGCUAUAUGACACAUUGGAUGCAUAAUUAAGCUGCAGCAUUGCAUUAAUAUCAAUAACUAGCAUUUGUUGAGUGCUCACCAGACAGUGCUAUAUAGGUUAUUUUAUAAGUUAUUUUAUGUAAUCCUCAAAAUAAACCUUUGAAGUAUUUACUAGUGGCAUCUCUAUUUUAUAGAAGAGGAAAUUAAGGUUUAGACCAGUUUAAGUACUUUCCCAUGGUCAAUCUGUUUGGUAGGCAGGAAUGGGAUAUGGACCUAUAUCUAUCUGACCCUAGAUUUCUCAUUAUGCCAUUAAACAACACUGGCUCUUACUGUUAUUGAAUGUAGAUUUAACUGGUCUGCUCAGUAUUGCAGAGAAUUUGAUGAGGAAAUUAUGAUGGAGGAUGCAUACUUAACAAAGAAAAUCUCCUGGAUGGAUCUUUCCUAUACAGGAAUUGUGAAAAUCUUCCCUGAGACAGGAGGCACCUGCCUGUCACAGAUACCAGUCAGGGAAAAAGAACACAUAAGGAUUUCCUGCUGGAACCCGAAAGCUUUUUCUGCAGUCCAGGUGGUUCUGAUAGCCCUUACCAGAUGUCUGUCCAGAGCCAUUAAGUCUUGGCAUGCUUGCUCUUGGGAAAAUAUUAAGCCAUCUCACCCAUGAGCAAGUGCUGAAUGAAUGGAAAGUUUCCAGCUGUGUGCCCAGAAAAAAAUGUUUAAUGAAGACAACUGAUGUCUUUGAAUGGUUUAUUUUCUCAAUUGUUUUUGAGGCUACAGCUUACAUAUCAAUACUUCCGAGGGACUAAGUAUACAAGAAAGACACUUAAAAUGAAACCCUUAGUAUAUAUUAGGACAAUGUCCUCAUUUUUAUGUUCUCAUUUACUUUACUAUUGAAAUUUUUAGAAUGAUUUAUCAAGAUUCUUUUAUUAUUAUUUAUUAUUUUCCUCUGCCUAAAUAAAUGGGGGUAAAAUCUAAAACCAUUUACUUAUGAGUAAAUAUGAUUGAGGAGGUUUCUAUAUGCUUAUAUUUUAAAACAGAACAAAAAAACAAAAAAUACCUACAAAGUUGGUGUUGAACUUAAUUGAACCAUGCUGCACUGACCCUUCUCACUUCUGACUCCUGUUUGCCCUUGGCUUCCUCUGUCACCUCUCCCUUCUUCAUGUCCCAUGCUCAGACUUUCGGAACCAGGUUUCCCUACCAUGUUAUGUUGUUUCAUAGCUCUUCCUCUCACUUCUUUCUCUGUGUAAAAUGCAUCUCUUCCCUGUUUACAUUUGGAAUGCCUUCUCAUUUUCAAAGGUGCAUCUGGUUUCUCUACUGAAUAGAACCUUUCCCAAUUUCCCAAUAGAGAACUUAACUACCCCUCACUUGGUGCCUACCCUGUACCCCAAAUCCCCGAUAAAACAAUCUUUACAUGGAUGUUGAGUAAAUAGUGACAAAGUGAAACAAUGAAAGGAACCAAUAAGAUUCCUUAACUCUUUAACUAAUGAUGUAUUAAUAGGACCAGAAAAUUACAGGAAAGAAUCAUUUUUUUCUUUUGCUUAUAUUUAUGCCCUAUUUGUCUAUUAUGCGGAAAACAUUAUGGUUCGGAGCCCAUGGCUUAUUCAUGUUUGUACAUCCAAUGUUCUCUCCGGUGCUAAUUUUGAUCAUCUGCUCAAAAUAAUGAUUUUGAGCAGAUGAUCAAAUAAUGAUUUCAUUGAAAAACAUCACUUCAUUGGCUUGGUACUUUUAUCGUGACCUUAGAUUUCUUGUAUAUACUACCUUUAUAUGUUAUCUGAGGAGAUUUGUUUUUAUAUAAAGGUUCUUAAUAAAUUUUCUUCAAAUGUCAGGAUCAAGAGCAUAGGCAUAUUUGCUCUGGAAUGUUUAUCCUAUUCUUCACUGAUGAUCAAUUUAGAGUGUGUCUGUUCAGGCAAGAAUAAACAGAGCAAAUGAUCUCUUUUUCCCAUAUGAGCUCUUGAAUUUCACUUUUCCCUAGAAUGAAAAGUGCUUCUUGCCAAUAGAGGAUUUUUUAUACUGUCAUUUAAAAAAUGGAUUUUCUUUUAUCAAACCAAUAACCUUUAUAUGUGCAUUGUUUUCUCCUACAUGGAGCCUUGAGAUCAGCUUUCACAGAUUCUGUUUUGUGGUGAGUGCUGUCAGUGUAGAAGGAUGUCAUUUGUCAUGCCUUAGAGACUGUGUAGCACCCCUUCUUUCUUUUGCUAAAUAAGAAAAAUAAGCUGCUCUCUGCCCAAGCAAGACAAAUGUACUUGGGAUACCUAUUCUUUCCUGUGAUUUCUCUGGACUUGCAUCACUGGUUUAAGAUUUAAGGCAUCUUCUUGGUUCUUUACUUUUCAUUGUUUCACAGCUCUUUGCUACUGUUUACUCAAUAUCCAUGUAAAGAUUGUUUAAUGGACACUUUGAAAACUUCACAAUUGUAAAGCAGUCCAGGUUUGUUGUUUGUGGUGUCAUUCUAUCUUUCUUUUCUCUGUUGUUUUCCUCCCUUCUGACCCUUGAUCAACUAAUGAGUGUCCUUACACCCUGACUACUCAGUUCUCCCCACAACUCUGCCUAUCCUAGUGUGCUAGUCUCUCAAUGACAAAGUCAUUCUUCUUUCUCCUCCAACUAAAACGCUCACUAGUUGAUUGUCAAGCAGAAAAUCUCUCUGAUUAACUCCCUCCCUCCAAGUAACUACUGAUUGUUAAUGGCCCAAUAUCUUAUUCUUCUAGGAUGAAAAUGAACAUUGUGAAAUAGGUGACAACUUUAUGUGACAAAUGCAUUUACCAAGGACAUAACUCUAUGAUUGUGGUAUUUCACACAUCAUGAGGUGGAACACUGGGGUUGUUUCUAGAAGGGAUGUGUAAGCUACUGCCUAUUCCCAUUUGUUUAAGGAUUUUUCAGUCUUAGAAUUGUUCAUUUCUAUUCUUCUUCCAUGGAGGAAUCUAAAUGCUGUUAUGUCACGGUAACUAACUGCAUUGUGCUUCAUAUAUUAUCAUGUAGAUUACAGGGCAAGUUAUUUUGUUUUCUAAAACAUUACUGGUAGAACAUAAAGAACAGUAGCAAUAAGACUAUUAACUUCUUAAUUGUUCCUGGAUACCAUUAUUAUACAUUCAAAUUUUGGUGAAGCCUCUGAUCAGAGUAUUUAAAGGUGUGUGUAUUUAAAAACUUGUGACAUAGAUCAUAUAUUAAAAAUAGUCUGCUUCAGAUUAUUCUCUGGGAACAAAACAAUGGAGUAGAUGGAAGGAGCUUAGUCAUCAAAGCAUUUCUUACAUAAUAGAUAUGACAAUGGUAAAAAUAGAUGAAAAUUGAAGGAAAAGAGAUGAAGCGUAGAGAAUAGUUUUAAGGAAACUAUACAAACAGACAGCAGAUGUCACUGUUGCUUUUUCAUUAUCAUUAAUCUUUUUUUGGGUUUUGUUCCUAGUUAAUGACAUUUUUCAUUUUAUUUGAGAACUCUAAUAGGUUAAUCAAGUUCACGUAUGCUGAACUUCUGUUUUGAAUGUUAUGUUUAUUAAGGUUAUGCCUAUAAACUUUGCAUAUAUAAUUAUAAAGAAGAUACUUUGUAUGCUGAGGACCAUUAAUUUAAUAUUAUAAAUUGACAAAAUAAUUUUUAUAAUAAACAUCAUCUGAUUCAGAAUAGUUUCCUAAUAAAAUAAAGUGUUAAUCAUCUUGAAGAACAGCUGGUCUUGAUCUUCUUUUAAAUGACCAGUCAUAUCAUUUGUUCUCUUUAUUGUGAAUACUGAAAUACAUAUCACCAAAUCUUCUCUGUGAUGAUGAUCUAAGAGAUUUUUUUUACCAUGUGAACACAACCAGCCAGUUUUAUGUAGAACCUGAGAAACACGUUCCACAUCAACUUCCAAAACACUAUUCACCCCCCCCGUUUCAUUUUCUCUCCUUGAUCAGUUCAACUCUAGCUUUCAAUUACAGUGUUUCCUCUUCAAGCUGCUGUGUAGGAUGCACAAACCUCAAUUUCUCAUCUUCCUAUCUAAUCAUUUACCAGAUCCUGUUGAUUCUAACUUCUGUGUUUUUAUUUCUUUUCUCUUCUUCUUUUCUUUUCUCAAAGACAGGGUCUCUCUCUCUGUCACCCAGGCUGGUGUGCAGUACCUUUGUAAAGGCACUACAACAGUGUGCAUUUCUAAAAUCAACUUCCUUUUUAUCACAAACUUUAAACUUCAUAGUACACAGCUAAGUAUGUGACACACAUGCACACAUUUCUGUAGGAAGAAUAACUUGGACAGUUUUUCAGUUUCAGUGGGGCUCCAUUAUUUCAUGAGAAUGAAAUGAGGCAACCUUGGUUUUAAUGUGGAAAAAAAUUCAGCAAGAACUAGUAAUAAUACAAUGAGAGUUUCUAAAGAUUUCUUUUUCAUAAAAUCUAAUUCUAUUGUCAUUUUUAAUUCAAAAGACUACAACUUUACUGUUAUAUUCUUAAACAUAGUAAGCCUGUUUUUUUUUUUAAAUCUAUAAAAUAAGGAACUUGGGUAAAAUGUUCCUAAUGUGCUUUUCAUAGAUAAAAUUCUAUUAUUCAAUAGGAAGUACUGAAAGGCGUACUUAGGAUUGCUUAUUUCUCUUACAAAAACCUCAUCAGUAUAUGUUCUAUGCUUCUAUAAAAAUGUAUUACAGAUGAUUACUUUUAGAACUAAAAUGAAAAUAUAUAUUAAGCACUUACUGGGGAAUUAGGAUUUUUAUAAUCAUAGGACAGUAGUGAAAAUUACUUGAAAUCUGUUAUAACUGAAAAACAAUUCAAGGAAUUUAAUGACAUUAAUCUUUACAUUUGAAGAUAAGCCUGUGACUGUGUAUAUGUUGUAACUGUUACAAUAAAUGAUAAAAACUAGCUUCUAUUUUGGAUUUUGUUAUCUUGAUUGCUUACUGAAAAUAUUAAUGGAAGUAAUGACACAGGAGUCAGGGAGAGGAAGGAGAUGGGCUGUCCAAACAUGUUUUCUGUUAUCCAUGUGUGAGCACUGCCUAUGAACACUAAGGCAGGGGUCCCCAACCCCUGGGACCAGUACUGGUCUGUGACCUGCUAGGAACUGGGCCGUAUAGCAGGAGGUGAGCAGUGGAUGAGCAAGGGAGCAUUACUGCCUGAGCUCUGCCUCCUGUCAGAUCAGCAGCGUUCAAUUCUCAUAGGAGGGCUACCCUGUUGUGAACUGCACGUGCAAGGGAUCUAGGUUGCACACUCCUUAUGAAACUCUAAUGCCUGAUGAUCUGAGGUGGAACAGUUUUAUCCUGAAAUCAUCCCUCCAGCUUUGCCCCACAUCCCCACUGUCCAUGGAAAAAUUGUCUUCCACGAAAAUGGUUCCUGGUGCCAAAAAGGUUGGGGACCACUGCUCUAAGGAAUAUAUUUAGAAUUGCUGGAAUAAAUAAUUUUUAUCACUGGUGAAUUGGCAUAUGGUUUUCUGUGUUUGAUUUAUAUAUUAUUUAACUAAGUAAGUGUUCUGAAGAGGAAUUUAGAAAAAGAGUAUUUUAUUCACUAGUAGGAACUUUAGUGCUCAGAGACAUGUUUCUGCAGCCUGUCCCAGCAUGUUAUUUUUUGAACACAUUGCAUCUUCAGUAUAGAUGUGGUUUGAAACUUGGACUUCACUUUUAAUUCACGUCAUCUUGGUUAGGAAAUUCAACUUCUCAUUAGUGAAAAUUUCUUAUAAAAGCGAGAAUAAUGCUACCUAUAUUUUUUGGGAUUGUUGUGAAGAUUACACUUGAUAAAUUUAAACACCAAUAUAUGUGUAAGGUGUACCAUAAAUUAUUGAUAUAUAUAUCAUUGUAACCACUAAUAGCAAAUGUUUCUCAAUGGCCUAGUAAGUAAAAGGUGUUUUGUUGAUUCUGGGAUUAUAAAAAGAUAGAAUUUGUGGUCUUCAUAGUUAGAAGCAGUAUUUAAAUAACGAACUUACUAUUUGUAACAGUAGUUAUUUACUUGCAAUCUUUAAAAAUUGUUAUUUAUUUAUUUAUUUAUUUAUUUAUUAUUAUACUUUAAG